This 1579-nucleotide long non-coding RNA is filed under the name Panax ginseng (ginseng). Its description in RNAcentral is "long non-coding RNA (PGIN_LNC005746)". The record is from RNAcentral. Lineage: Eukaryota; Viridiplantae; Streptophyta; Magnoliopsida; Apiales; Araliaceae.
UUUAUAUGGUUAUACUCACUUAAAUGAUCCACAACAGAUGUCAAAACCUUCACAUACCCCAUUCGUAAAACCAUAAUUAUGAUAAAAUUAAAAAGAAAAAUAGAUGAAAAUAAAAGUCAAUUAUAAGGCAAGUAAAAGAAGAAGGAUAUAAAUCAUUUUGAGUUUAAUUAAUUACUAGAAGCAACAAACUUCAACUUAAAGGAAAAACUAACAGUCAAAAGUUGCCUCCAAGACUAGAUUUUAAGAUGUUCACAAGUUUCUUCAGCUCCCUCCCCAUUCAACAAUGCUUUCAACCUAUCCAUUCAUUUCUUAUAUUGCAAUAACAGAAUAAUGACCCACCCCUCCCUAUAUAUGAUCAAUAUGGUCUCAAAUUCUUCAACUACAUGCCCAAACAAGAAAUUAACAAGAAAGAUGGAGGCAUAUCACAAGUUUCUACAUGGCACACUUGAAGCUACCAUCUUCCAUGCCACCCCUUAUACACCAUCUUUCCCCUUCAAUGUAAGGGCACUCUUUUUUGCUUUUCCUUCUGUCUAAAUAAUUAUUCAACCUUUUUGCUUAUUAGGAUUACACUUGCAUCACUACACCAAUGUAAAUAGACCAUUUUAAUUAUCAAACUAAAAUAUGAAAAUUUCUGCUUUGCAGUGCAUAUUUGCAAAUGGAAAGCCAACCUAUGUGACCAUCAAGAUCAAUAAUCAAAAGGUAGCAUCAACAAGCCAUGAAAUUGACAGGGUUUGGAAUCAAACCUUACAAAUUUUGUGUGCUCAUCCACCCGAUUCAACAAUCACAAUCUCCCUGAAAACCAACUGCUCUACCUUGGGGAAAAUCUGCAUUAGCGCCCACCAGAUAUUAACUGAAGCAAGUUUAAUCAAUGGUUUCUUUCCACUCUGCAUGGAAAAUGGAAAGACAGAUCAAGAACUAAAACUACGAUUUAUGUUAUGGUUUAAACCGGCAGAACUUGAACCAAGCUGGGAUAAAUUACUUGAAAAUUGUGGAUUCCAAGGUCUAAAGAAUGCUAGUUUCCCACAACGAUCCAACUGCAGUGUCACACUGUAUCAAGAUGCUCAUCAUCACCCUUCUUUUCAACCACCGGUCAAUCUUUGUAGGACACCAAGAAAACUAUGGGAGGAUGUGUAUAAAGCCAUCGAGGAUGCACAGCAUUUGAUAUACAUUGCAGGAUGGUCUUUCAACCCCAAGUUGGUUCUGGUAAGUGAAAAAAGUGUCAUUUCUCCCUCAAUUCUUCUCUCUGUUCUUCACAUUUCAAAGAUAAUAAUACUUGGCCGCGCAGGUUCGCGAUUCUCAAACAGAAAUUCCACAUGCAGUAGGAGUUAAACUUGGUGAUUUGUUGAAGCGGAAAGCAGAAGAAGGUGUGGCUGUGAGAAUCAUGCUUUGGGACGAUGAAACAUCAUUGCCUAUCAUUAAGAAUAAAGGAGUAAUGAGAACUCAUGAUGAAGAUGCAUUUUCCUACUUUAAACAUACCAAGGUAAUAUGUAAACUUUGCCCCAGAUUACACAACAAAUUCCCCACACUCUUUGCCCACCAUCAGAAAACCAUAACUUUGGACACUCAUGGACACUUGUCU